This 806-nucleotide ribosomal RNA is filed under the name uncultured Bacteroidota bacterium. RNAcentral describes it as "bacterial SSU rRNA". It matches the Rfam family "Bacterial small subunit ribosomal RNA", at positions 65 to 875 of the family's 1533-position model. Lineage: Bacteria; Pseudomonadati; Bacteroidota. The record is from RNAcentral.
AGGGGUAGAGUUAGCUUGCUAACUUGAGACCGGCGCACGGGUGCGUAACGCGUAUGCAAUCUACCUUUUGCAGAGGGAUAGCCCAGAGAAAUUUGGAUUAAUACCUCAUAGUAUAUAUGAAUGGCAUCAUUUAUAUAUUAAAGUCACAACGGCAAAAGAUGAGCAUGCGUCCCAUUAGCUAGAUGGUAAGGUAACGGCUUACCAUGGCUACGAUGGGUAGGGGUCCUGAGAGGGAGAUCCCCCACACUGGUACUGAGACACGGACCAGACUCCUACGGGAGGCAGCAGUGAGGAAUAUUGGACAAUGGGCGCAAGCCUGAUCCAGCCAUGCCGCGUGCAGGAUGACGGUCCUAUGGAUUGUAAACUGCUUUUGUACGGGAAGAAACCCUCCUACGUGUAGGAGCUUGACGGUACCGUAAGAAUAAGGAUCGGCUAACUCCGUGCCAGCAGCCGCGGUAAUACGGAGGAUCCAAGCGUUAUCCGGAAUCAUUGGGUUUAAAGGGUCCGUAGGCGGUUUAGUAAGUCAGUGGUGAAAGCCCAUCGCUCAACGGUGGAACGGCCAUUGAUACUGCUAGACUUGAAUUAUUAGGAAGUAACUAGAAUAUGUAGUGUAGCGGUGAAAUGCUUAGAGAUUACAUGGAAUACCAAUUGCGAAGGCAGGUUACUACUAAUGGAUUGACGCUGAUGGACGAAAGCGUGGGUAGCGAACAGGAUUAGAUACCCUGGUAGUCCACGCCGUAAACGAUGGGUACUAGCUGUUGGGCGCAAGUUCAGUGGCUAAGCGAAAGUGAUAAGUAUCCCACCUG